UUUGAACCUAGAAAGCAUCUCCAAGCUUGA
Molecule: non-coding RNA, 30 nt
Filed under: Rattus norvegicus (Norway rat)
Lineage: Eukaryota; Metazoa; Chordata; Mammalia; Rodentia; Muridae
Source: RNAcentral